GCUUUCUUGCUCUGUGAGGCCUAACAUAAUCAUCAUGGAAGUUCAGACUUUGGUGAACAGAUCUACAUUAAUGUCGUCUCCCUCAGCUGAAUCUGAAUCCUGACUUUCAGAGCAGCAGAAAAUCUUCACCGUUCUGCAUUGAGCAGUCAGUAUUUGGGUCAUGUUGGAUAAAUGACAGAAACUCUGAACUCCAGCUUAACGACUCCAGGACGUGUUUCACCAGGAAUUGCCUCAGUC
Molecule: non-coding RNA, 237 nt
Organism: Chiloscyllium plagiosum (whitespotted bambooshark)
Lineage: Eukaryota; Metazoa; Chordata; Chondrichthyes; Orectolobiformes; Hemiscylliidae
Source: RefSeq, a predicted model, not a curated record